AGUGGCGAACGGGUGAGUAAUACAUCGGAACGUGCCCUGGAGUGGGGGAUAACCCAGCGAAAGUUGGGCUAAUACCGCAUACGAUCUUCGGAUGAAAGCGGGGGACCGCAAGGCCUCGCGCUCAAGGAGCGGCCGAUGUCGGAUUAGCUAGUUGGUGAGGUAAAGGCUUACCAAGGCGACGAUCCGUAGCUGGUUUGAGAGAACGACCAGCCACACUGGAACUGAGACACGGUCCAGACUCCUACGGGAGGCAGCAGUGGGGAAUUUUGGACAAUGGGGGCAACCCUGAUCCAGCCAUGCCGCGUGAGUGAAGAAGGCCUUCGGGUUGUAAAGCUCUUUCGGCAGGAACGAAACGGUCCGCGCCAAUACUGCGGACUACUGACGGUACCUGCAGAAGAAGCACCGGCUAACUACGUGCCAGCAGCCGCGGUAAUACGUAGGGUGCGAGCGUUAAUCGGAAUUACUGGGCGUAAAGCGUGCGCAGGCGGUGGCACAAGUCAGGUGUGAAAUCCCCGAGCUUAACUUGGGAAUUGCAUUUGAAACUAGGUCGCUAGAGUUUGGAAGAGGGGGGUAGAAUUCCACGUGUAGCAGUGAAAUGCGUAGAGAUGUGGAGGAAUACCGAUGGCGAAGGCAGCCCCCUGGGCUAAAACUGACGCUCAUGCACGAAAGCGUGGAGAGCAAACAGGAUUAGAUACCCUGGUAGUCCACGCCCUAAGCGAUGCCAACUAGUUGUCGGGAGAGCAAUCUCUUGGUAACGCAGCUAACGCGUGAAGUUGGCCGCCUGGGGAGUACGGUCGCAAGAUUAAAACUCAAAGGAAUUGACGGGGACCCGCACAAGCGGUGGAUUAUGUGGAUUAAUUCGAUGCAACGCGAAAAACCUUACCUACCCUUGACAUGUACCGAACCCCGACGAGAGUUGGGGGUGCCCGAAAGGGAGCGGUAACACAGGUGCUGCAUGGCUGUCGUCAGCUCGUGUCGUGAGAUGUUGGGUUAAGUCCCGCAACGAGCGCAACCCUUGUCAUUAGUUGCUACAUUCAGUUGGGCACU
This 1047-nucleotide ribosomal RNA is filed under the name uncultured bacterium. RNAcentral's name for it is "bacterial SSU rRNA". It matches the Rfam family "Bacterial small subunit ribosomal RNA", at positions 94 to 1139 of the family's 1533-position model. The record is from RNAcentral.